RNAcentral lists this ribosomal RNA (497 nucleotides) under uncultured bacterium. Its description in RNAcentral is "partial 16S ribosomal RNA". It matches the Rfam family "Bacterial small subunit ribosomal RNA", at positions 28 to 507 of the family's 1533-position model. The record is from RNAcentral.
GAUGAACGCUGGCGGCGUGCCUAAUACAUGCAAGUCGAGCGAACAGACGAGGAGCUUGCUCCUCUGACGUUAGCGGCGGACGGGUGAGUAACACGUGGAUAACCUACCUAUAAGACUGGGAUAACUUCGGGAAACCGGAGCUAAUACCGGAUAAUAUAUUGAACCGCAUGGUUCAAUAGUGAAAGACGGUUUUGCUGUCACUUAUAGAUGGAUCCGCGCCGCAUUAGCUAGUUGGUAAGGUAACGGCUUACCAAGGCGACGAUGCGUAGCCGACCUGAGAGGGUGAUCGGCCACACUGGAACUGAGACACGGUCCAGACUCCUACGGGAGGCAGCAGUAGGGAAUCUUCCGCAAAGGGCGAAAGCCUGACGGAGCAACGCCGCGUGAGUGAUGAAGGUCUUCGGAUCGUAAAACUCUGUUAUUAGGGAAGAACAAGUGUGUAAGUAACUAUGCACGUCUUGACGGUACCUAAUCAGAAAGCCACGGCUAACUACGUG